Daphnia pulex (common water flea) is the source of this 122-nucleotide non-coding RNA. Lineage: Eukaryota; Metazoa; Arthropoda; Branchiopoda; Diplostraca; Daphniidae. The record is from Rfam.
AUCGCUUCUCGGCCUUUUGGCUAAGAUCAAAGUGUAGUAUCUGUUCUUAUCAGCUUAAUAUCUGAUACGGGCUUUCCUUUGGCCUCCAACUUCUUCUAACAUUUCCUCUGCUCUCAAUUCUU